Molecule: ribosomal RNA, 443 nt
Filed under: uncultured bacterium
Lineage: Bacteria
Description: partial 16S ribosomal RNA
Rfam family: Bacterial small subunit ribosomal RNA
Source: RNAcentral
CCUACGGGUGGCAGCAGUGGGGAAUAUUGGGCAAUGGAGGAAACUCUGACCCAGCCACGCCGCGUGAAUGAUGAAGGCCUUCGGAUUGUAAAGUUUUUUUCUAAGGGAAGUAGAAAGUGACGGUACCUCAGGAAUAAGCCUCGGCUAACUACGGGCCAGCAGCCGCGGUAAUACGUAGGAGGCGAGCGUUAACCGGAAUGACUGGGCGUAAAGGGUGCGUAGGUGGUUUGGCAAGUUAGUAGCGUAACUCCAAGGCUCAACCUUGGAACUACUACUAAAACUGGUAGACUUGAGUGCAGGAGAGGCAGCCGGAAUUCGUAGUGUAGCGGUGAAAUGCGUAGAUAUUAGGAGGAACACCAGUGGCGAAGGCGGGUUACUAGACUGUAACUGACACUGAGGCACGAAAGCGUGGGGAGCAAACAGGAUUAGAUACCCCUGUAGUC